This 325-nucleotide ribosomal RNA is filed under the name uncultured eukaryote. RNAcentral's name for it is "partial 18S ribosomal RNA". It matches the Rfam family "Eukaryotic small subunit ribosomal RNA", at positions 1470 to 1796 of the family's 1831-position model. The record is from RNAcentral.
CCCUUAGAUGUUCUGGGCUGCACGCGCGCUACACUGAUGCGCUCAACGAGUUUACGAACUUGCCCGGAAGGGUUGGUUAAUCUUUUUAAAACGCAUCGUGAUGGGGAUAGAUUAUUGCAAUUAUUAAUCUUCAACGAGGAAUUCCUAGUAAGCGCGAGUCAUCAGCUCGCACUGAUUACGUCCCUGCCCUUUGUACACACCGCCCGUCGCACCUACCGAUUGAAUGUUUCGGUGAAGAUUCCGGAUAGGACUUUUUUGAUUUAUUUCAAUUUUGUCUUAAAAGCUAUCUAAACCUCAACAUUUAGAGGAAGGUGAAGUCGUAACA